UCCCUUCUCUCCUUCCUUUUCCUUUCAUCCUUCCUUUCCUCCUCUCCUCUUUUACCUCCCCUUUCUCUCCUUUUUCUUCCUUUUAUCCUUCCUUUUUUCUUCUCAUUCCCUCUUCAAAGUAAAUCUUUUUUUAACUCAAUUGGUUUCUACUUUGGUAUUGGAGGUCUUUGCAGCUUCACACCUGCUCCUCUUUGUUCAUUAGCUGGAUCUCAGUGUUAUGCUUGGUUCCACUCGGCGUGAUAAGUUAUCUAUCGCUGAGGACACUGUAAAAGGUGGCCAAGGUAAAUGCAGAUGAACCGCUUCUAAUAGUCCAUUGACUUGGACAAUACUUUUAUGAUCUGAUCUCAAAUCAGGUAGGACUACCCGCUGAACUUAAGC
This 378-nucleotide unclassified non-coding RNA is filed under the name plant metagenome. Its description in RNAcentral is "partial contains internal transcribed spacer 2 and large subunit ribosomal RNA". The record is from RNAcentral.